RNAcentral lists this transfer RNA (30 nucleotides) under Oreochromis ndalalani. RNAcentral's name for it is "partial transfer RNA-Thr". Lineage: Eukaryota; Metazoa; Chordata; Actinopteri; Cichliformes; Cichlidae. The record is from RNAcentral.
GGAUGUCGAAGAUUAAAGUCCUUCCUACUG